RNAcentral lists this transfer RNA (76 nucleotides) under Paenibacillus sp. IHB B 3084. RNAcentral's name for it is "tRNA-Arg". It matches the Rfam family "tRNA". Rfam says of the family: Transfer RNA (tRNA) molecules are approximately 80 nucleotides in length. Their secondary structure includes four short double-helical elements and three loops (D, anti-codon, and T loops). Lineage: Bacteria; Bacillati; Bacillota; Bacilli; Caryophanales; Paenibacillaceae. The record is from RNAcentral.
GGAGAGAUACCCAAGUGGAUAUAAGGGGUUAGACUGCGAAAGUGGUGCGAAGGUUCGAAUCCUUCUCUCUCCGCCA